RNAcentral lists this ribosomal RNA (1052 nucleotides) under uncultured Streptomyces sp. RNAcentral describes it as "bacterial SSU rRNA". It matches the Rfam family "Bacterial small subunit ribosomal RNA", at positions 1 to 1105 of the family's 1533-position model. Lineage: Bacteria; Bacillati; Actinomycetota; Actinomycetes; Kitasatosporales; Streptomycetaceae. The record is from RNAcentral.
GAUUAGAGUUUGAUCCUGGUCAGGAUUAACGCUGGCGGCGUGCCUAACCAUGCAAGUCGAAUGUCCUUCGGGGCAUGGCGGACGGCCGAGUAACACGUUGGUACUUGCCCUAGACUCAGGGAUAAUCCCCGGAAACGGGGGGUAAUACCUGAUAGUUCUCUUCGGAGUAAAGCUUUUGCGGUCUAGGAGAGGCCUGCGCGGGAUUAGCUUGUUGGUGAGGUAAUGGCUCACCAAGGCAACGAUCUCUAGGUGGUCUGAGAGGAUGAUCAUCCAGACUGGGACUGAGACACGGCCCAGACUCCUACGGGAGGCAGCAGUGAGGAAUCUUGCACAAUGGGGGAAACCCUGAUGCAGCAACGCCGCGUGGAGGAAGACGGCCUUCGGGUUGUAAACUCCUUUUAUUUGGGACGAACAUUGACGGUACCAAAUGAAUAAGAGGUGGCUAACUAUGUGCCAGCAGCCGCGGUAAUACAUAGACCUCAAGCGUUAUCCGGAUUUACUGGGCGUAAAGCGUGCGUAGGCGUCUUGUUAAGUCUCCGGUGAAAUCCCUCGGCUCAACUGAGGAAUGGUCGGAGAAACUGGCGGGAUUGAGUGUGACAGAGGCAGACGGAAUUCCUGGUGUAGCGGUAAAAUGCGUUGAUAUCAGGAGGAACACCAAUGGCGAAGGCAGUCUGCUGGGUCAUUACUGACGCUGAGGUACGAAAGCGUGGGUAGCGAACGGGAUUAGAUACCCCGGUAGUCCACGCCGUAAACGGUGGGUGCUAGGCAUUCGGGGAUUAGACCCCCUGGGUGUCGAAGCUAACGCGUUAAGCACCCCGCCUGGGGAGUACGAGCGCAAGCUUAAAACUCAAAGGAAUUGACGGGGACCCGCACAAGCGGUGGAGCGUGUGGUUUAAUUCGACGCUAAGCGAAGAACCUUACCCAGGCUUGACAUCUAGCUGCAAGCCCCUGGAAACAGGGGCCUCCUUCGAGGGUGCUAGACAGGUGCUGCAUGGUCGUCGUCAGCUCGUGUCGUGAGAUGUUGGGUUAAGUCCCGCAACGAGCGCAACCCA